UGCCAGCCGCCGCGGUAAUACGGAGGGUGCAAGCGUUGUCCGGAUUUAUUGGGUUUAAAGGGUGUGUAGGCGGAUUUUUAAGUCAGUGGUGAAAACUCUAGGCUCAACCUAGAACCUGCCAUUGAUACUGGAAGUCUCGAGUUUAGAUGAAGUAGGCGGAAUAUGUCAUGUAGCGGUGAAAUGCGUAGAUAUGACAUAGAACACCGAUAGCGAAGGCAGCUUACUAAUCUAUAACUGACGCUGAUGCACGAAAGCGUGGGUAGCGAACAGGAUUAGAUA
RNAcentral lists this ribosomal RNA (279 nucleotides) under uncultured bacterium. RNAcentral describes it as "partial 16S ribosomal RNA". It matches the Rfam family "Bacterial small subunit ribosomal RNA", at positions 506 to 784 of the family's 1533-position model. The record is from RNAcentral.